RNAcentral lists this ribosomal RNA (509 nucleotides) under Stenotrophomonas sp. FL101. RNAcentral describes it as "bacterial SSU rRNA". It matches the Rfam family "Bacterial small subunit ribosomal RNA", at positions 522 to 1037 of the family's 1533-position model. Lineage: Bacteria; Pseudomonadati; Pseudomonadota; Gammaproteobacteria; Lysobacterales; Lysobacteraceae. The record is from RNAcentral.
UAUACGAAGGGUGCAAGCGUUACUCGGAAUUACUGGGCGUAAAGCGUGCGUAGGUGGUCGUUUAAGUCUGUUGUGAAAGCCCUGGGCUCAACCUGGGAACUGCAGUGGAAACUGGACGACUAGAGUGUGGUAGAGGGUAGCGGAAUUCCUGUGUAGCAGUGAAAUGCGUAGAGAUCAGGAGGAACAUCCAUGGCGAAGGCAGCUACCUGGACCAACACUGACACUGAGGCACGAAAGCGUGGGGAGCAAACAGGAUUAGAUACCCUGGUAGUCCACGCCCUAAACGAUGCGAACUGGAUGUUGGGUGCAAUUUGGCACGCAGUAUCGAAGCUAACGCGUUAAGUUCGCCGCCUGGGGAGUACGGUCGCAAGACUGAAACUCAAAGGAAUUGACGGGGGCCCGCACAAGCGGUGGAGUAUGUGGUUUAAUUCGAUGCAACGCGAAGAACCUUACCUGGCCUUGACAUGUCGAGAACUUCCAGAGAUGGAAGGCCUUCGGACUCGACACAG